This 230-nucleotide ribosomal RNA is filed under the name uncultured bacterium. Its description in RNAcentral is "partial 16S ribosomal RNA". It matches the Rfam family "Bacterial small subunit ribosomal RNA", at positions 562 to 791 of the family's 1533-position model. The record is from RNAcentral.
AAAGCGUGCGUAGGCGGUUUUGUAAGACUGUCGUGAAAUCCCCGGGCUCAACCUGGGAAUGGCGAUGGUGACUGCAAGGCUAGAGUUUGGCAGAGGGGGGUAGAAUUCCACGUGUAGCAGUGAAAUGCGUAGAUAUGUGGAGGAACACCGAUGGCGAAGGCAGCCCCCUGGGUCAAAACUGACGCUCAUGCACGAAAGCGUGGGGAGCAAACAGGAUUAGAUACCCGGGU